AUCUGUUCAUGGUUAAAGCCCCGGCGGUCAGAGAUGGGCAUGCGUGACAUUAGCUUGUUGGUGAGGUAACAGCUCACCAAGGCUACGAUGUCUAGGGGGUCUGAGAGGAUGGUCCCCCACACUGGUACUGAGACACGGACCAGACUCCUACGGGAGGCAGCAGUGAGGAAUAUUGGUCAAUGGGCGAAAGCCUGAACCAGCCAUGCCGCGUGAAGGAUGACAGCCCUAUGGGUUGUAAACUUCUUUUGUACGGGAAGAAACGCUUCUACGUGUAGAGGUUUGACGGUACCGUACGAAUAAGCAUCGGCUAAACUCCGUGCCAGCAGCCGCGGUAAUACGGAGGAUGCAAGCGUUAUCCGGAUUUAUUGGGUUUAAAGGGUACGUAGGCGGGAGCUUAAGUCAGUGGUGAAAUCCUGCAGCUUAACUGUAGAACUGUCAUUGAUACUGGGCUUUCUUGAAUGUAGUUGAGGUAGGCGGAAUGUGUAAUGUAGCGGUGAAAUGCUUAGAUAUUACACAGAACACCGAUUGCGAAGGCAGCUUACUAUACUACGAUUGACGCUGAGGUACGAAAGCGUGGGGAGCGAACAGGAUUAGAUACCCUGGUAGUCCACGCUGUAAACGAUGAUCACUCGUUGUUGGCAAUACACCGUCAGCGACUGAGCGAAAGCAUUAAGUGAUCCACCUGGGGAGUACGACCGCAAGGUUGAAACUCAAAGGAAUUGACGGGGGCCCGCACAAGCGGAGGAACAUGUGGUUUAAUUCGAUGAUACGCGAGGAACCUUACCUGGGCUUAAAUGUAGAACGACGGACCGGGAAACUGGUCUUUCUUCGGACGGUCUGCAAGGUGCUGCAUGGCUGUCGUCAGCUCGUGCCGUGAGGUGUCGGGUUAAGUCCCAUAACGAGCGCAACCCUCAUCAUUAGUUGCCAGCGGGUAAUGCCGGGGACUCUAAUGAAACUGCCGGUGUAAACCGAGAGGAAGGUGGGGAUGACGUCAAGUCAGCACGGCCCUUAUGUCCAGGGCUACACACGUGUUAC
This 1035-nucleotide ribosomal RNA is filed under the name uncultured organism. RNAcentral describes it as "bacterial SSU rRNA". It matches the Rfam family "Bacterial small subunit ribosomal RNA", at positions 189 to 1228 of the family's 1533-position model. The record is from RNAcentral.